RNAcentral lists this ribosomal RNA (148 nucleotides) under Candidatus Methanomethylophilaceae archaeon. RNAcentral's name for it is "partial 23S ribosomal RNA". It matches the Rfam family "Archaeal large subunit ribosomal RNA", at positions 2836 to 2987 of the family's 2987-position model. Lineage: Archaea; Methanobacteriati; Thermoplasmatota; Thermoplasmata; Methanomassiliicoccales; Methanomethylophilaceae. The record is from RNAcentral.
GGCUGAAGGCAUCUAAGCCCGAAGCCGCCUUGAAAAAGAGGUGCCACGGGACGCCCGUAGAUGACGGGCACGAUAGAAGCCGGAUGUAAGCGCCGAGGUCCGCCGAGGCGUUCAGUCCGGGCUCACUAACGUCCCAAACCGCCGCUGG